This 959-nucleotide ribosomal RNA is filed under the name Enterococcus lactis. RNAcentral's name for it is "bacterial SSU rRNA". It matches the Rfam family "Bacterial small subunit ribosomal RNA", at positions 74 to 1011 of the family's 1533-position model. Lineage: Bacteria; Bacillati; Bacillota; Bacilli; Lactobacillales; Enterococcaceae. The record is from RNAcentral.
GUAGCUCAGCUCCACCGGAAAAAGAGGAGUGGCGAACGGGUGAGUAACACGUGGGUAACCUGCCCAUCAGAAGGGGAUAACACUUGGAAACAGGUGCUAAUACCGUAUAACAAUCAAAACCGCAUGGUUUUGAUUUGAAAGGCGCUUUCGGGUGUCGCUGAUGGAUGGACCCGCGGUGCAUUAGCUAGUUGGUGAGGUAACGGCUCACCAAGGCCACGAUGCAUAGCCGACCUGAGAGGGUGAUCGGCCACAUUGGGACUGAGACACGGCCCAAACUCCUACGGGAGGCAGCAGUAGGGAAUCUUCGGCAAUGGACGAAAGUCUGACCGAGCAACGCCGCGUGAGUGAAGAAGGUUUUCGGAUCGUAAAACUCUGUUGUUAGAGAAGAACAAGGAUGAGAGUAACUGUUCAUCCCUUGACGGUAUCUAACCAGAAAGCCACGGCUAACUACGUGCCAGCAGCCGCGGUAAUACGUAGGUGGCAAGCGUUGUCCGGAUUUAUUGGGCGUAAAGCGAGCGCAGGCGGUUUCUUAAGUCUGAUGUGAAAGCCCCCGGCUCAACCGGGGAGGGUCAUUGGAAACUGGGAGACUUGAGUGCAGAAGAGGAGAGUGGAAUUCCAUGUGUAGCGGUGAAAUGCGUAGAUAUAUGGAGGAACACCAGUGGCGAAGGCGGCUCUCUGGUCUGUAACUGACGCUGAGGCUCGAAAGCGUGGGGAGCAAACAGGAUUAGAUACCCUGGUAGUCCACGCCGUAAACGAUGAGUGCUAAGUGUUGGAGGGUUUCCGCCCUUCAGUGCUGCAGCUAACGCAUUAAGCACUCCGCCUGGGGAGUACGACCGCAAGGUUGAAACUCAAAGGAAUUGACGGGGGCCCGCACAAGCGGUGGAGCAUGUGGUUUAAUUCGAAGCAACGCGAAGAACCUUACCAGGUCUUGACAUCCUUUGACCACUCUAGAGAUAGAG